This 359-nucleotide ribosomal RNA is filed under the name uncultured bacterium. RNAcentral's name for it is "bacterial SSU rRNA". It matches the Rfam family "Bacterial small subunit ribosomal RNA", at positions 29 to 414 of the family's 1533-position model. The record is from RNAcentral.
AACGAACGCUGGCGGCAGGCCUAACACAUGCAAGUCGAACGCGCGUAGCAAUACGCGAGUGGCGCACGGGUGAGUAACACGUGGGAAUCUACCCAGAGGUUCGGAAUAACCGCGGGAAACUGCGGCUAAUACCGGAUGUCCCCUACGGGGGAAGAUUAUCGCCUUUGGACGAGCCCGCGUCCGAUUAGCUAGUUGGUGAGGUAAUGGCUCACCAAGGCUACGAUCGGUAGCUGGUCUGAGAGGACGACCAGCCACACUGGAACUGAGACACGGUCCAGACUCCUACGGGAGGGCAGCAGUGGGGAAUUUUGCGCAAUGGGCGAAAGCCUGACGCAGCAACGCCGCGUGAGUGAAGAAGG